AGACCCGAAACCCGGUGAUCUAGCCAUGGGCAGGUUGAAGGUUGGGUAACACUAACUGGAGGACCGAACCGACUAAUGUUGAAAAAUUAGCGGAUGACCUGUGGCUGGGGGUGAAAGGCCAAUCAAACCGGGAGAUAGCUGGUUCUCCCCGAAAGCUAUUUAGGUAGCGCCUCGUGAAUUCAUCUCCGGGGGUAGAGCACUGUUUCGGCUAGGGGGCCAUCCCGGCUUACCAACCCGAUGCAAACUGCGAAUACCGGAGAAUGUUAUCACGGGAGACACACGGCGGGUGCUAACGUCCGUCGUGAAGAGGGAAACAACCCAGACCGCCAGCUAAGGUCCCAAAGUCAUGGUUAAGUGGGAAACGAUGUGGGAAGGCCCAGACAGCCAGGAUGUUGGCUUAGAAGCAGCCAUCAUUUAAAGAAAGCGUAAUAGCUCACUGGUCGAGUCGGCCUGCGCGGAAGAUGUAACGGGGCUAAACCAUGCACCGAAGCUGCGGCAGCGACGCUGAUGCGUUGUUGGGUAGGGGAGCGUUCUGUAAGCCUGUGAAGGUGGCCUGUGAGGGUUGCUGGAGGUAUCAGAAGUGCGAAUGCUGACAUAAGUAACGAUAAAGCGGGUGAAAAGCCCGCUCGCCGGAAGACCAAGGGUUCCUGUCCAACGUUAAUCGGGGCAGGGUGAGUCGACCCCUAAGGCGAGGCCGAAAGGCGUAGUCGAUGGGAAACGGGUUAAUAUUCCCGUACUUGGUGUUACUGCGAAGGGGGGACGGAGAAGGCUAUGUUGGCCGGGCGACGGUUGUCCCGGUUUAAGCGUGUAGGCGGGUGUUCCAGGUAAAUCCGGAACGCUGUUAAC
RNAcentral lists this ribosomal RNA (846 nucleotides) under Salmonella enterica. Its description in RNAcentral is "partial 23S ribosomal RNA". It matches the Rfam family "Bacterial large subunit ribosomal RNA", at positions 711 to 1556 of the family's 2925-position model. The record is from RNAcentral. RNAcentral also lists the same sequence under 1 other name. Lineage: Bacteria; Pseudomonadati; Pseudomonadota; Gammaproteobacteria; Enterobacterales; Enterobacteriaceae.